Molecule: ribosomal RNA, 471 nt
Filed under: uncultured bacterium
Lineage: Bacteria
Description: bacterial SSU rRNA
Rfam family: Bacterial small subunit ribosomal RNA
Source: RNAcentral
UGGGGAAUAUUGGACAAUGGGCGCAAGCCUGAUCCAGCCAUGCCGCGUGUGUGAAGAAGGCCUUCGGGUUGUAAAGCACUUUCAGCGAGGAGGAAGGGAGUUGUGUUAAUAGCACAGCUCCUUGACGUUACUCGCAGAAGAAGCACCGGCUAACUCUGUGCCAGCAGCCGCGGUAAUACAGAGGGUGCAAGCGUUAAUCGGAAUUACUGGGCGUAAAGCGCACGUAGGCGGUUUUUAAGUCAGAUGUGAAAGCCCCGGGCUCAACCUGGGAAUUGCAUUUGAAACUGGAAAACUAGAGUGUGUGAGAGGGGGGUAGAAUUCCAAGUGUAGCGGUGAAAUGCGUAGAGAUUUGGAGGAAUACCAGUGGCGAAGGCGGCCCCCUGGCACAACACUGACGCUCAGGUGCGAAAGCGUGGGGAGCAAACAGGAUUAGAUACCCUAGUAGUCCCUGAGCGGGCUGGCAAGGCGCAU